CCUACGGGUGGCAGCAGUGGGGAAUAUUGCACAAUGGGGGAAACCCUGAUGCAGCGACGCCGCGUGAGUGAAGAAGUACUUCGGUACGUAAAGCUCUAUUAGCAGGGAAGAAAAUGACGGUACCUGACUAUGAACCUCCUGCCAACUACGGGCCAGCAGCCGCGGUCAUACGUAGGGGGCAAGCGUUAUCCGGUUUUACUGGGUGUAAAGGGAGCGUAGAUGGCUGCGCAAGUCUGGCGUGAAAUCCCAUGGCUUAACCAUGGAGCGGCAUUGGAAACUGUGCAGCUAGAGUGCAGAAGAGGUAAGCGGAAUUCCAAGUGUAGCGGUGAAAUGCGUAGAUAUUAGGAGGAACACCAGUGGCGAAGGCGGCUUACUGGACUGUAACUGACGUUGAGGCGCGAAAGCGUGGGGAGCAAACAGGAUUAGAUACCCGAGUAGUC
RNAcentral lists this ribosomal RNA (440 nucleotides) under uncultured bacterium. Its description in RNAcentral is "partial 16S ribosomal RNA". It matches the Rfam family "Bacterial small subunit ribosomal RNA", at positions 338 to 795 of the family's 1533-position model. The record is from RNAcentral.